This 413-nucleotide ribosomal RNA is filed under the name uncultured bacterium. RNAcentral's name for it is "bacterial SSU rRNA". It matches the Rfam family "Bacterial small subunit ribosomal RNA", at positions 28 to 420 of the family's 1533-position model. The record is from RNAcentral.
GACGAACGCUGGCGGCGCGCCUAACACAUGCAAGUCGAACGGAGCAAAGUCGACUGAAGUUUUCGGACGGAUUUUGAUUUUGCUUAGUGGCGAACGGGUGAGUAACACGUGAGGAACCUGCCCUUCAGUGGGGGACAACAGUUGGAAACGACUGCUAAUACCGCAUAAGACCACAGUACCGCAUGGUACAGUGAUCAAAGGAUUUAUUCGCUGAAGGAUGGCCUCGCGUCCGAUUAGCUAGAUGGCGGGGUAACGGCCCACCAUGGCGACGAUCAGUAGCCGGUCUGAGAGGAUGAACGGCCACAUUGGGACUGAGAUACGGCCCAGACUCCUACGGGAGGCAGCAGUGGGGAAUAUUGGGCAAUGGGGGAAACCCUGACCCAGCAACGCCGCGUGAAGGAAGAAGGCCUCGG